GCACUGGCUGGGGCAGCACAGACACUAAAAUUGGAGUGACACAGAGGAGUCAGCAGGGCCCUUGCGCAAGGAUGACAUACAAAUUCGUGAAGACUUCCAUAUUUUU
Gorilla gorilla gorilla (western lowland gorilla) is the source of this 106-nucleotide small nuclear RNA. The record is from Ensembl. Lineage: Eukaryota; Metazoa; Chordata; Mammalia; Primates; Hominidae.